Molecule: transfer RNA, 87 nt
Filed under: Gammaproteobacteria bacterium
Lineage: Bacteria; Pseudomonadati; Pseudomonadota; Gammaproteobacteria
Description: tRNA-Leu
Rfam family: tRNA
About the family: Transfer RNA (tRNA) molecules are approximately 80 nucleotides in length. Their secondary structure includes four short double-helical elements and three loops (D, anti-codon, and T loops). Further hydrogen bonds mediate the characteristic L-shaped molecular structure. tRNAs have two regions of fundamental functional importance: the anti-codon, which is responsible for specific mRNA codon recognition, and the 3' end, to which the tRNAs corresponding amino acid is attached (by aminoacyl-tRNA synthetases). tRNAs cope with the degeneracy of the genetic code in two manners: having more than one tRNA (with a specific anti-codon) for a particular amino acid; and 'wobble' base-pairing, i.e. permitting non-standard base-pairing at the 3rd anti-codon position.
Source: RNAcentral
GCCCGGGUGGCGGAAUUGGUAGACGCUACGGACUUAAAAUCCGUUGAGAUUUUUCUCGUGCCGGUUCGAGUCCGGCCCUGGGGACCA